UACGUAGGGUGCGAGCGUUGUCCGGAUUUAUUGGGCGUAAAGAGCUUGUAGGCGGCUCGUCGCGUCGGGUGUGAAAACUUGCGGCUCAACCGCAAGCCUGCACCCGAUACGGGCGGGCUAGAGUUCGGCAGGGGAGACUGGAAUUCCUGGUGUAGCGGUGGAAUGCGCAGAUAUCAGGAGGAACACCGGUGGCGAAGGCGGGUCUCUGGGCCGUAACUGACGCUGAGGAGCGAAAGCAUGGGGAGCGAACAGG
This 253-nucleotide ribosomal RNA is filed under the name uncultured bacterium. Its description in RNAcentral is "partial 16S ribosomal RNA". It matches the Rfam family "Bacterial small subunit ribosomal RNA", at positions 524 to 776 of the family's 1533-position model. The record is from RNAcentral.